AGAGACAAUCGAGAAAACUAAAACAUCUUAGUAACUAAAGAAAAAGAAAGUAAAAGGGAUUCCUAUAGUAGCAGUGAGCGAAAUGAGAGGAGCCUAAACCGUGAAAACUGGAUUGUAGGAAAGCAAUACAAGCAUCAUGCUGCUAGGCGAAGUGGCAGAGUGCUAUGCCCUGGAUGGCAAGAGUCCAGUAGCCAGAAGCAUCACUAGCUUACGCUUUGACACGAGUAGCAUGAGGCACGUGGAAUCCUAUGUGAAUCAAUAAAGACCAUCUUGCAAGGCUAAAUACUCCU
RNAcentral lists this non-coding RNA (290 nucleotides) under Jatropha curcas. Its description in RNAcentral is "Bacterial large subunit ribosomal RNA". It matches the Rfam family "Bacterial large subunit ribosomal RNA", at positions 176 to 477 of the family's 2925-position model. The record is from Rfam by way of RNAcentral. Lineage: Eukaryota; Viridiplantae; Streptophyta; Magnoliopsida; Malpighiales; Euphorbiaceae.